This 536-nucleotide ribosomal RNA is filed under the name Obesumbacterium proteus. Its description in RNAcentral is "bacterial SSU rRNA". It matches the Rfam family "Bacterial small subunit ribosomal RNA", at positions 957 to 1492 of the family's 1533-position model. The record is from RNAcentral. Lineage: Bacteria; Pseudomonadati; Pseudomonadota; Gammaproteobacteria; Enterobacterales; Hafniaceae.
CAACGCGAAGAACCUUACCUACUCUUGACAUCCAGAGAAUUUGCUAGAGAUAGCUUAGUGCCUUCGGGAACUCUGAGACAGGUGCUGCAUGGCUGUCGUCAGCUCGUGUUGUGAAAUGUUGGGUUAAGUCCCGCAACGAGCGCAACCCUUAUCCUUUGUUGCCAGCACGUAAUGGUGGGAACUCAAAGGAGACUGCCGGUGAUAAACCGGAGGAAGGUGGGGAUGACGUCAAGUCAUCAUGGCCCUUACGAGUAGGGCUACACACGUGCUACAAUGGCAUAUACAAAGAGAAGCGAACUCGCGAGAGCAAGCGGACCUCAUAAAGUAUGUCGUAGUCCGGAUUGGAGUCUGCAACUCGACUCCAUGAAGUCGGAAUCGCUAGUAAUCGUAGAUCAGAAUGCUACGGUGAAUACGUUCCCGGGCCUUGUACACACCGCCCGUCACACCAUGGGAGUGGGUUGCAAAAGAAGUAGGUAGCUUAACCUUCGGGAGGGCGCUUACCACUUUGUGAUUCAUGACUGGGGUGAAGUCGUAAC